Molecule: ribosomal RNA, 469 nt
Filed under: uncultured bacterium
Lineage: Bacteria
Description: bacterial SSU rRNA
Rfam family: Bacterial small subunit ribosomal RNA
Source: RNAcentral
GAUGAACGCUGGCGGCGUGCUUAACACAUGCAAGUCGAACGGAGUUAUCUGGAAGCUUGGCUUCCGGAUAACUUAGUGGCGGACGGGUGAGUAACGCGUGGGUGACCUGCCUUAUACUGGGGGAUAACACUUAGAAAUAGGUGCUAAUACCGCAUAAGCGCACGAAACCGCAUGGUUUUGUGUGAAAAACUCCGGUGGUGUAGGAUGGACCCGCGUCUGAUUAGAUAGUUGGUGAGGUAACGGCUCACCAAGUCGACGAUCAGUAGCCGGACUGAGAGGUUGGACGGCCACAUUGGGACUGAGACACGGCCCAGACUCCUACGGGAGGCAGCAGUGGGGAAUAUUGCACAAUGGGCGCAAGCCUGAUGCAGCGAUGCCGCGUGAGGGAAGAAGGUUUUAGGAUUGUAAACCUCUGUCUUCAGGGACGAUAAUGACGGUACCUGAGGAGGAAGCUCCGGCUAACUACGUG